UCCGCUUACAAAAUACUGGAUGGUUGAUGAUGCCUUGUUAUUAGACAACGAUUCUAUAGUCCUAGUGGUGUAUUUGGUCCUUAUACUUGGGACACCAAGGAUGUCCUAUAUGAGUACUCCACUCUUUGAUACCAGACUUAUAGGUCUUGAGGUUCUAUAUCUAGUAUAACCGGUCAUCAAGAGUGAUAGCUAACCUUACGAGGAC
RNAcentral lists this long non-coding RNA (205 nucleotides) under Musa acuminata (dwarf banana). RNAcentral's name for it is "long non-coding RNA (MACU_LNC010333)". The record is from RNAcentral. Lineage: Eukaryota; Viridiplantae; Streptophyta; Magnoliopsida; Zingiberales; Musaceae.